RNAcentral lists this long non-coding RNA (524 nucleotides) under Marmota monax (woodchuck). Lineage: Eukaryota; Metazoa; Chordata; Mammalia; Rodentia; Sciuridae. The record is from RNAcentral.
GCCCCUGCCAGUCGCGUCCGCUCCGGGGCCCGCGCCGAGGUCGCGUGGGAGGAGGCAGCCCCUGGCAGGGACCUCGGCCGCUCCACCGGGCGGUCCCCUGCCUGCGCCGCCGCGGAGAGCCCAGCGCUGACAUGCCCCGAGGGGGCGGUGGCUGCGAGCCGAGCCUGAGUAGAAGCGCGUCGCAGCGGACGCGGGCGCCCCUCACCACCUCGGUGACCCUUCGGGAGUCGUGACCGGAUCCCCGGAGGUGGCGGCGCGGGCCCGCGAGGGCGGCGAGGUCCGUGCUUUUAGCGUCCGGAGGGGCCGCUGGCUGCGGACUCGCCCCCUCCUGCCUUUCCCCCCCAGCCCCCCGCGAGCUGGCAGGAGGAAAUAGCGCGCGGCCCCUUUAAAUUUACCCAGGAGCCCUUAAAGGAGCCCCAGGGGCCCCAGACAGGAAUCCCCACCCCGGUCCAGCCCGCGCCGCCGAGCGAGCAGCCAGCCGUCCGUGCGGCCGGCCGCCCAGUGCAUGCGCCCCGCGCCCCGGG